This 274-nucleotide ribosomal RNA is filed under the name uncultured bacterium. RNAcentral describes it as "partial 16S ribosomal RNA". It matches the Rfam family "Bacterial small subunit ribosomal RNA", at positions 523 to 796 of the family's 1533-position model. The record is from RNAcentral.
AUACGGAGGGGGUUAGCGUUGUUCGGAAUUACUGGGCGUAAAGCGUACGUAGGCGGAUUGGUAAGUUAGAGGUGAAAUCCCAGGGCUCAACCCUGGAACUGCCUUUAAUACUGCCAGUCUUGAGUUCGAGAGAGGUGAGUGGAAUUCCGAGUGUAGAGGUGAAAUUCGUAGAUAUUCGGAGGAACACCAGUGGCGAAGGCGGCUCACUGGCUCGAUACUGACGCUGAGGUACGAAAGUGUGGGGAGCAAACAGGAUUAGAAACCCGAGUAGUCC